Molecule: ribosomal RNA, 305 nt
Filed under: uncultured bacterium
Lineage: Bacteria
Description: partial 16S ribosomal RNA
Rfam family: Bacterial small subunit ribosomal RNA
Source: RNAcentral
ACAGCAGUCGCCACGGUAAUACGGAGGGAGCUAGCGUUGUUCGGAAUUACUGGGCGUAAAGCGCGCGUAGGCGGUUACUCAAGUCAGAGGUGAAAGCCCGGGGCUCAACCCCGGAACUGCCUUUGAAACUAGGUGACUAGAAUCUUGGAGAGGUCAGUGGAAUUCCGAGUGUAGAGGUGAAAUUCGUAGAUAUUCGGAAGAACACCAGUGGCGAAGGCGACUGACUGGACAAGUAUUGACGCUGAGGUGCGAAAGCGUGGGGAGCAAACAGGAUUAGAUACCCCUGUAGUCCCUGUCUCUUAUAC